GUGCCUAUGGCGCAGUGGACUAGCGCGUUGGACUUCUAAUCCAAAGGUCUCGGGUUCGAUCCCCGAUAGGCAUG
Folsomia candida is the source of this 74-nucleotide transfer RNA. It matches the Rfam family "tRNA". Rfam says of the family: Transfer RNA (tRNA) molecules are approximately 80 nucleotides in length. Lineage: Eukaryota; Metazoa; Arthropoda; Collembola; Entomobryomorpha; Isotomidae. The record is from Rfam.